UACGGAGGAUCCAAGCGUUAUCCGGAAUUACUGGGCGUAAAGAGUUGUGUAGGCGGUUAGUAAAGCAAAUAGUGAAAGCGUGGGGCUCAACCUCAUAUCCAUUAUUUGAACUCACUAACUAGAGUGUGGAAGAGGUAACUGGAAUUCCUAGUGUAGGAGUGAAAUCCGUAGAUAUUAGGAGGAACACCGAUGGCGUAGGCAGGUUACUGGUCCAUUACUGACGCUCAGACACGAAAGCAUGGGGAGCGACCGGG
RNAcentral lists this unclassified non-coding RNA (254 nucleotides) under uncultured Patescibacteria group bacterium. Its description in RNAcentral is "contains 16S-23S intergenic spacer region". It matches the Rfam family "Bacterial small subunit ribosomal RNA", at positions 524 to 776 of the family's 1533-position model. The record is from RNAcentral.